This 403-nucleotide ribosomal RNA is filed under the name Verrucomicrobiota bacterium. Its description in RNAcentral is "Verrucomicrobia bacterium partial 16S ribosomal RNA". It matches the Rfam family "Bacterial small subunit ribosomal RNA", at positions 355 to 776 of the family's 1533-position model. The record is from RNAcentral. Lineage: Bacteria; Pseudomonadati; Verrucomicrobiota.
UGGGGAAUAUUGCACAAUGGGCGCAAGCCUGAUGCAGCAACGCCGCGUGAACGAUGAAGGUCUUCGGAUCGUAAAGUUCUGUUGCAGGGGAAGAUAAUGACGGUACCCUGUGAGGAAGCCCCGGCUAACUACGUGCCAGCAGCCGCGGUAAUACGUAGGGGGCGAGCGUUGUCCGGAAUUAUUGGGCGUAAAGGGUACGUAGGUGGUUUUUUAAGUCAGGUGUCAAAGCGUGGGGCUUAACUCCAUUAAGCACUUGAAACUGAAAGACUUGAGUGAAGGAGAGGAAAGUGGAAUUCCUAGUGUAGCGGUGAAAUGCGUAGAUAUUAGGAGGAAUACCGGUGGCGAAGGCGACUUUCUGGACUUUUACUGACGCUCAGGUACGAAAGCGUGGGGAGCAAACAGG